RNAcentral lists this ribosomal RNA (664 nucleotides) under uncultured Eubacteriales bacterium. Its description in RNAcentral is "bacterial SSU rRNA". It matches the Rfam family "Bacterial small subunit ribosomal RNA", at positions 61 to 725 of the family's 1533-position model. Lineage: Bacteria; Bacillati; Bacillota; Clostridia; Eubacteriales. The record is from RNAcentral.
GUCGAGCGAUGAAACUUUAACAGAACCCUUCGGGGCGAAGAUAAAGCGGAUUAGCGGCGGACGGGUGAGUAACACGUGAGUAACCUGCCUUAGACAUUGGGAUAGCCUCGGGAAACCGGGAUUAAUACCAAAUAAAAUCAUAAUGACACAUGUCAUAACGAUCAAAACUCCGGUGGUCUAAGAUGGACUCGCGUCCCAUUAGCUAGUUGGUAGAGUAAAAGCCUACCAAGGCGACGAUGGGUAGCCGGCCUGAGAGGGUGAACGGCCACAUUGGAACUGAGAAACGGUCCAAACUCCUACGGGAGGCAGCAGUGGGGAAUAUUGCACAAUAGAGGGAACUCUGAUGCAGCGACGCCGCGUGAACGAAGAAGGCUUUCGAGUCGUAAAGUUCUUUUAUAUGGGAAGAUAAUGACGGUACCAUAAGAAAAAGCCCCGGCUAACUACGUGCCAGCAGCCGCGGUAAUACGUAGGGGGCUAGCGUUGUCCGGAAUCACUGGGCGUAAAGGGUUCGCAGGCGGAAAUGCAAGUCAGAUGUAAAAGGCAGUAGCUUAACUACUGUAAGCAUUUGAAACUGCAUAUCUUGAGAAGAGUAGAGGUAAGUGGAAUUUUUAGUGUAGCGGUGAAAUGCGUAGAUAUUUAAAAGAAUACCGGUGGCGAAGGCGAC